GACGUAGGGCGCGAGCGUUGUCCGGAUUUAUUGGGCGUAAAGAGCUCGUAGGCGGCUUGUCGCGUCGUCCGUGAAAACUUGGGGCUCAACCCCGAGCUUGCGGUCGAUACGGGCAGGCUAGAGUUCGGUAGGGGAGACUGGAAUUCCUGGUGUAGCGGUGAAAUGCGCAGAUAUCAGGAGGAACACCGGUGGCGAAGGCGGGUCUCUGGGCCGAUACUGACGCUGAGGAGCGAAAGCGUGGGGAGCGAACAGG
Molecule: ribosomal RNA, 253 nt
Filed under: uncultured bacterium
Lineage: Bacteria
Description: partial 16S ribosomal RNA
Rfam family: Bacterial small subunit ribosomal RNA
Source: RNAcentral